Molecule: ribosomal RNA, 466 nt
Filed under: uncultured bacterium
Lineage: Bacteria
Description: partial 16S ribosomal RNA
Rfam family: Bacterial small subunit ribosomal RNA
Source: RNAcentral
GAUGAACGCUGGCGGCGUGCUUAACACAUGCAAGUCGAACGAUGAAGCCCAGCUUGCUGGGUGGAUUAGUGGCGAACGGGUGAGUAACACGUGAGUAACCUGCCCUUGACUCUGGGAUAAGCCUGGGAAACUGGGUCUAAUACUGGAUAUGACUUCUCAUCGCAUGGUGGGGGGUGGAAAGAUUUAUUGGUCUUGGAUGGACUCGCGGCCUAUCAGCUUGUUGGUGAGGUAAUGGCUCACCAAGGCGACGACGGGUAGCCGGCCUGAGAGGGUGACCGGCCACACUGGGACUGAGACACGGCCCAGACUCCUACGGGAGGCAGUAGUGGGGAAUAUUGCACAAUGGGCGCAAGCCUGGUGCAGCGACGCCGCGUGAGGGAUGACGGCCUUCGGGUUGUAAACCUCUUUCAGUAGGGAAGAAGCGAGAGUGACGGUACCUGCAGAAGAAGCGCCGGCUAACUACGUG